UGUUCUUGAGUGAGCAAGAAAAGCAUGC
This 28-nucleotide non-coding RNA is filed under the name Rattus norvegicus (Norway rat). Lineage: Eukaryota; Metazoa; Chordata; Mammalia; Rodentia; Muridae. The record is from RNAcentral.